AAGGCUAGAAGUGGUUUAUUUCACUUUAUUUAAAUUACUAAAUAGGUGGCCACCUUCGUAGAAUAUAAGCAGCAACCUUUUAGGUUUUUAAUUUGGUUUUAAUCACCUUCCAACUGUAUAACUGCUAACUAUAAAUCUACUGUUUACGCAUGCGCAGUGAGAGCCGUACCUCCAGUUUCAGUGACGUUUACAGGUGUGACAGCAGCUGCAGAGUUACUCCCUUGGUUUGGUGAAGGCGGGAUGUUUUCUCAUUAAAAUCGACCAGGAAAAGUCAGCAAGGACGACACCAGAUUACUGAGAUUUCAGAUUACAGUUAUGAAGACCACUACGGCUGUCUCUGAUCCUCAGCCCUGAAAGAGCUAAAGACAGGAAAACAGAGAUAGAAAAGGAUGGCAAGCAGGCCCACCGGCUGCUAACAAACUGGGCUGCUAUGGUAAGGAGCCAUGAGUCAGCAGUCCCUUGACACUGCCUUCACACUUUCACCAACCUCAACAACCUCCACCACCACAAAACGAUGUUCCUCUAACAAAAGAUAACAAAGAAGAAGGUCCACAACAACAGCAGAGCUGCAGAGCAUAUAAUUGAUGAUGACUCAUCCAGACCUUUGCUUAUUUCGUAUGCAGAAGACGAAGAGAGGAGGAAGAAAGAGAGAUAGGAAUUAGUGAUGUGUUCUUUGUGUGUGUGUGUGUGUGUG
Long non-coding RNA from Larimichthys crocea (large yellow croaker), 694 nucleotides. RefSeq lists it as uncharacterized. Lineage: Eukaryota; Metazoa; Chordata; Actinopteri; Sciaenidae. The record is from RefSeq and is a predicted model, not a curated record. The transcript has 6 exons.